Molecule: ribosomal RNA, 491 nt
Filed under: uncultured bacterium
Lineage: Bacteria
Description: partial 16S ribosomal RNA
Rfam family: Bacterial small subunit ribosomal RNA
Source: RNAcentral
AGUGAACGCUGGCGGUAGGCCUAACACAUGCAAGUCGAACGGCAGCACAGUAAGAGCUUGCUCUUACGGGUGGCGAGUGGCGGACGGGUGAGGAAUACAUCGGAAUCUACUUUUUCGUGGGGGAUAACGUAGGGAAACUUACGCUAAUACCGCAUACGACCUACGGGUGAAAGCAGGGGAUCUUCGGACCUUGCGCGAUUGAAUGAGCCGAUGUCGGAUUAGCUAGUUGGCGGGGUAAAGGCCCACCAAGGCGACGAUCCGUAGCUGGCCUGAGAGGAUGAUCAGCCCCACUGGAACUGGGACACGGUCCAGACUCCUAGGGGAGGCAGCAGUGGGGAAUAUUGGACAAUGGGCGCAAGCCUGAGCCAGCCAUACCGCGUGGGUGAAGAAGGCCUUCGGGUGGUAAAGCCCUUUGUUGGGAAAGAAAAGCAGCAGGUUAAUACCCCGCUGUUCUGACGGUACCCAAAGAAUAAGCACCGGCUAACUUCGUG